This 504-nucleotide ribosomal RNA is filed under the name uncultured bacterium. RNAcentral's name for it is "bacterial SSU rRNA". It matches the Rfam family "Bacterial small subunit ribosomal RNA", at positions 8 to 526 of the family's 1533-position model. The record is from RNAcentral.
AGAGUUUGAUCAUGGCUCAGGACGAACGCUGGCGGCGUGCUUAACACAUGCAAGUCGAACGAUGAUGCCCAGCUUGCUGGGCGGAUUAGUGGCGAACGGGUGAGUAACACGUGAGUAACCUGCCCUUGACUUCGGGAUAACUCCGGGAAACCGGGGCUAAUACCGGAUAUGAGCCGUCCUCGCAUGGGGGUGGUUGGAAAGUUUUUCGGUCAGGGAUGGGCUCGCGGCCUAUCAGCUUGUUGGUGGGGUGAUGGCCUACCAAGGCGACGACGGGUAGCCGGCCUGAGAGGGCGACCGGCCACACUGGGACUGAGACACGGCCCAGACUCCUACGGGAGGCAGCAGUGGGGAAUAUUGCACAAUGGGCGAAAGCCUGAUGCAGCGACGCCGCGUGAGGGAUGAAGGCCUUCGGGUUGUAAACCUCUUUCAGCAGGGAAGAAGCGCAAGUGACGGUACCUGCAGAAGAAGCGCCGGCUAACUACGUGCCAGCAGCCGCGGUAAUAC